AUAAAACAAACUUACUAUAUAAGGGCUGUAGAAGAUGAUAUA
RNAcentral lists this non-coding RNA (42 nucleotides) under Trypanosoma brucei brucei. The record is from RNAcentral. Lineage: Eukaryota; Euglenozoa; Kinetoplastea; Trypanosomatida; Trypanosomatidae.